GGCUCAGGACGAACGCUGGCGGCGUGCCCUAAUACAUGCAAGUCGAGCGGACAGAAGGGAGCUUGCUCCCGGAUGUUAGCGGCGGACGGGUGAGUAACACGUGGGUAACCUGCCUGUAAGACUGGGAUAACUCCGGGAAACCGGAGCUAAUACCGGAUAGUUCCUUGAACCGCAUGGUUCAAGGAUGAAAGACGGUUUCGGCUGUCACUUACAGAUGGACCCGCGGCGCAUUAGCUAGUUGGUGAGGUAACGGCUCACCAAGGCGACGAUGCGUAGCCGACCUGAGAGGGUGAUCGGCCACACUGGGACUGAGACACGGCCCAGACUCCUACGGGAGGCAGCAGUAGGGAAUCUUCCGCAAUGGACGAAAGUCUGACGGAGCAACGCCGCGUGAGUGAUGAAGGUUUUCGGAUCGUAAAGCUCUGUUGUUAGGGAAGAACAAGUGCAAGAGUAACUGCUUGCACCUUGACGGUACCUAACCAGAAAGCCACGGCUAACUACGUGCCAGCAGCCGCGGUAAUACGUAGGUGGCAAGCGUUGUCCGGAAUUAUUGGGCGUAAAGGGCUCGCAGGCGGUUUCUUAAGUCUGAUGUGAAAGCCCCCGGCUCAACCGGGGAGGGUCAUUGGAAACUGGGAAACUUGAGUGCAGAAGAGGAGAGUGGAAUUCCACGUGUAGCGGUGAAAUGCGUAGAGAUGUGGAGGAACACCAGUGGCGAAGGCGACUCUCUGGUCUGUAACUGACGCUGAGGAGCGAAAGCGUGGGGAGCGAACAGGAUUAGAUACCCUGGUAGUCCACGCCGUAAACGAUGAGUGCUAAGUGUUAGGGGGUUUCCGCCCCUUAGUGCUGCAGCUAACGCA
Molecule: ribosomal RNA, 857 nt
Filed under: Bacillus sp. (in: firmicutes)
Lineage: Bacteria; Bacillati; Bacillota; Bacilli; Caryophanales; Bacillaceae
Description: bacterial SSU rRNA
Rfam family: Bacterial small subunit ribosomal RNA
Source: RNAcentral